GACGAACCGUGCGAACGUUGUUCGGAAUCACUGGGCUUAAAGGGCGCGUAGGCGGGCAAUCAAGUCUGAGGUGAAAUCCUCCAGCUUAACUGGAGAAGUGCCCCGGAUGCUGGUUGCCUCGAGGAUGGUAGGGGCAUCUGGAACUAGCGGUGGAGCGGUGAAAUGCGUUGAUAUCGCUAGGAACUCCGGUGGCGAAGGCGAGGUGCUGGACCAUUUCUGACGCUGAGGCGCGAAAGCCAGGGGAGCGAACGGG
Molecule: ribosomal RNA, 253 nt
Filed under: uncultured bacterium
Lineage: Bacteria
Description: partial 16S ribosomal RNA
Rfam family: Bacterial small subunit ribosomal RNA
Source: RNAcentral